Molecule: long non-coding RNA, 773 nt
Organism: Girardinichthys multiradiatus
Lineage: Eukaryota; Metazoa; Chordata; Actinopteri; Cyprinodontiformes; Goodeidae
Exons: 2
Source: RefSeq, a predicted model, not a curated record
GCUGCCGUGUAAUAUCUUACUGUACAACCUGUCAGUUGUUCUCUGCCAUAAAAGCUAACUAAAUGUGUACUUUUCUUUAUCAUCAGAAGGAGUUACAUUCCCAUCUGACAUAUGCUACUAUUGACCAUUUUUACUCUAAGGACCCUCACAAGAUAGGAGCAGGUGAUUCACUGUGGUUCAGCUGUUUUAUUUUAGAAAUGAUCACAUCAAAUAACAGGAUGUGACUCUUUGCUGUUAGGAUUGUGUUCUGUUUGGUGGAUCUGUUUGUGUUUACUCACCUUCCAGAGUCAGAGUGGCAUGGGCGGAGUUUCCCAAUCUAUGCAUCUGUCCAGGAUUCUGCUGAUGAGAGCAGCUGGGAUUUAAGCUCCUGGAAGUGAUCCAUUCCUCGCCGGAUUAUUCAGUCACACUGGUACUGAUUGAGACAGCCAAUAAUUUAUCUUUGAGACUUUUUUGAGUAACCUGGUGAUUUUUGUGUUUUUCUAAGGACCCUGAUUGGAUUGUGGAACUCGUCUUUUGCUGGAGCUUAAGGACCCGUGUAUUUGGAUUCCUCUCCUGGAAACUCUCACCUAGAAACCAACCAUCCACCGUCCUGCCACUCUCUCUCUCUCUUUCUCUCUCUCUCCCCCGCGGACCUGGAACACAAACGGACACCGAAACCUGGAACACUUACCUCCUGGAUUUCCUUUGCCUCCUCCUCCGAGCUGACCUCCCUCCAAAGAGCCUGACGAACCCACUGUUGUGCACUCACAGUAAAUAAACAUCAUUUAACUUUU